RNAcentral lists this unclassified non-coding RNA (396 nucleotides) under Hevea brasiliensis (rubber tree). The record is from RNAcentral. Lineage: Eukaryota; Viridiplantae; Streptophyta; Magnoliopsida; Malpighiales; Euphorbiaceae.
UGAGAACAAGCAUGUCAAGUUCCUUGCUGACGGUUCUGCAGCAUAUACACAUGCUCUUGGCCUGGAGCUCGAUCUUUCAGAGAAAGGACUUGGUGUUCGAUCCAAGCGUUUCUCUCUCUUAGUUGAUAACCUCAAGGUCAAAGCCGCAAAUAUCGAGUCUGGUGGAGAAUUUACUGUCUCAGGUGCUGAGGACAUCCUCAAGGCUCUUUGAUUGAAUCCAUUUUUCAAUUGUAUGUGAACUAUUUGCAUCACAGGCUUUGGCCUUCCAUGUAGUUUCUAGCUGAUGAACCUUCGUGAUACUGAGUAAAGCCCAUGUCGACCUUCUAUCGAACUGUGGUUUUGUGGAGUUAAUUAGAUGUUUAGGGCUCACUUUCAUAUGAAUAAUGAAAAAUCAUG